Podarcis lilfordi (Lilford's wall lizard) is the source of this 71-nucleotide non-coding RNA. The record is from the annotation of a GenBank genome assembly. Lineage: Eukaryota; Metazoa; Chordata; Lepidosauria; Squamata; Lacertidae.
GGAUAGCUCAGUCUGUAGAGCAUGAGACUCUUUUAAUCUCAGGGUUGUGGGUUCGAGCCCCAGGUUAGAUG